RNAcentral lists this ribosomal RNA (465 nucleotides) under uncultured bacterium. RNAcentral describes it as "partial 16S ribosomal RNA". It matches the Rfam family "Bacterial small subunit ribosomal RNA", at positions 28 to 507 of the family's 1533-position model. The record is from RNAcentral.
GACGAACGCUGGCGGCGUGCUUAACACAUGCAAGUCGAACGGAAAGGCCCCUUUUGGGGUCCUCGAGUGGCGAACGGGGGAGUAACACGCGCGUAACCUGCCCUUGACUUCGGGAUAACUUUAGGAAACUGGGGCUAAUACCGGAUAGGAAUCAUUGCUGCAUGGUGGGGGUUGGAAAGCUUGGGCGGUUUUGGAUGGACUCGCGGCUUAUCAGCUUGUUGGUGGGGUAGUGGCUUACCAAGGCUUUGACGAGUAGCCGGACUGGGAGGGCGACCGGCCGCAUUGGGACUGAGAUACGGCCCAGACUCCUACGGGAAGCAGCGGUGGGGAAUAUUGCACAAGGGGCGGAAGCCUGAUGCAGCAACGCCGCGGGCGGGAUAACGGCCUUGGGGUUGUAGACCGAUUUCAGCAGGAGCGAAGCUUGUGGUGACGGUACCUGCAGAAGAAGCACCGGCUAACUACGUG